CAAACGCUUCCCAAGAGGAAAUAUAACACGCUAUCGUCGCCGUCAAUCGCCGAUGCCACUGGAUAGAAAACUAAAUAAAUAAUCAGAACCUAUACAAGAAAAAAUAAUGAAGAGAGGAGGAAGGAAGCCGAGACGGCGGCGUGGAAGAAGCCUAGGCCGGUGGCGUCUGCUGGUUCCAUUCUCUUCCGUAUCAAUAUCGGGAUCACGCGUAGUUGCUGAGGACGUGACCGGCGCGACGCCGGAGUUCUUGACAUCAUCCAAGCCGGCCGAUAGACGGUCUCCCCAAACUCCGGUGCCGUGCACAAGCUUCUCUAUAUUUUAUAUCGAGAGAAAAUAAAUUACAAGUGCGACUCGGAAAAAAGGGACGAAGAAGUCGGACGCGUUCAGGCGCAGCGCACUACUUCUCCCCGAGAGAAACACCGGCGAGCAAUAAUAAAUGGCGUCAUAGCCACGGACCUUCCUCCCCCAAGCGGAUCACACCACCAACCCCCCGCCGCCUUCCUCCUCCUCGCCGACCGACCCCGCCCGCCCGCGACCGCACGCGUCAACCCGCCCCCCACCGCCGGUGCUCCUGCGACCGCCGCGGGUGAGGCGGAGAUCCAUCCGUCCAUCUGAGCUCCUACUGACUCGACGCCGGUAACGAACCCCUUCUUCCCUGCUCUGGCUGUUGAGCCGCCGAAUCCGAACCAACCCGUGUCUCCCUCCAGCUCCGAGGAUUUGUUUCGGGGGCUCAGGUUCAGCGCAAGUGGCUGGACCCCCCAUGCCACACGUGAACGCCAAGGUGUCGGCGGUGGCGGCGACGGGGAUGUCCGCCGUGCCUGCGGCCGCGGCGCCGCCGUCGCCGAGGAGGUGGGAGGGGGUGGACCCGGCGCUGGAGAGGAUGGUGCUGCGCGCGUGCCUGGACCAGGCCCCCGAGCGCCGCCGCGUGCGCGAGGCCUUCAAGGACGUGCAGCUCAGCAUUGACCACUGCCUCUUCAAGGCACAAUACAGUGACAUUGGAACAAAAGAGUCAUAUGAGCGGAACUCCAGAGGUGUGGAGAUAUUCUCAAAAUGUUGGUUUCCGGAGAACCAUCGUAUGAAAGCAAUUGUUUGUCUCUGCCAUGGUUAUGGAGACACCUGUACCUUUUUCCUUGAUGGGAUUGCUAGGAAGAUUGCUUCGGCUGGAUAUGGAGUAUUUGCAUUGGACUACCCUGGUUUUGGUCUUUCUGAAGGACUUCAUGGAUAUAUUCCAAGUUUUGAUACUCUUGUUGACGAUGUUGCUGAACAUUUUGCUAAGAUCAAAGGGAAUCCUGAAUACAGAGAUCUCCCAAGCUUUCUGUUUGGCCAAUCUAUGGGUGGUGCAGUUGCAUUGAAGAUUCACUUUAAGCAACCGAAAGACUGGAAUGGUGCAAUUCUAGUUGCACCUAUGUGCAAGAUUUCAGAUGACGUGGUACCAGCUUGGCCUGUUCAGCAAGUUCUGAUUUUCAUGGCUAAACUUCUUCCAAAAGAGAAGCUUGUUCCACAGAAAGACUUGGCAGAAUUGGCAUUCAGAGAGAAAGAAAAACAAGAGCAGUGUUCUUACAAUGUGAUUGCCUACAAGGAUAAACCACGUCUCCGAACAGCUCUGGAGAUGCUGAGGACCACACAAGAGAUAGAAAGUCGCCUACAAGAAGUUUCCCUGCCCAUAAUCAUUCUGCAUGGUGAGGCUGAUUUGGUCACCGACCCAGGCGUGAGCAAAGAUCUGUAUGAAAAAGCGAAGACAUCGGACAAGACGCUGCGACUUUACAAAGACGGCUACCAUGCCAUCUUGGAAGGUGAACCGGACGAGGGGAUCUUCAAAGUUCUCGACGAUAUAAUCUCCUGGCUGGAUCAGCAUUCUGCAAAGGAGAUACCGUCGUCGUGAGCUGCACAGUUUUUUAUCCUUUAAUCAUUUGUCGAGCAUCACAGGUCACGGUUGGGAAUUCUAUUUUGGGUUUUACACUUGAUACACGCACUGAUUUCCUGCUGAUUGUGAAUAUGUAUCUAGCAUUCAUCAUGUUGGUGUGAUGUGCAAAUGGUUGGUCGUUUUUUGGCCCCAAAAUCGGGCUAUUUGAUGUGGCCCGCAAAAUGAAUAGGGUUUUGUUCCCUUUGGGGUCAGGAUUUGAUUUCGAAUAACGUAACCAACAAGUUUGUCUGUCCCAGAACUGGGCGUAGGAAUUCAAUCUGUGACUCCAUAGAUUGUAAGAAUAGACUACAAAUCUCCUUAGCAUGACCUGUGAGCAUCCCCAAAAGGAAGAAGAAAAAACAUGUAUGUAAGCUGCGCGGCCUUCGAUAGCGAAUAGUGUUUCGUGUUUGUAAUAUGUCCGUAUUGAUUUAUAUUAGUCGAGUCGUACCUUGCACCUGCACUCACACAACAAUCACUAGUGCUUAUGCAGAGACAAGACGUAAGCUCACUAGUGAUGUGUGUGGACUGCAAAGCGUGCACUCCGCUAUAUACCUAUAACUUGCUAACCUGAUCAACCCAAUCUAUCAACACGAGGAUAACUAGAGUUACCGCGCCGCGUGCCUUCUUUAUCGUCAAUCAAUAGCAGUGCCACCAGCCCCGCGCACUGAUUUCUAACCUAACUUGCUAGUACUAGCCUACCACACCAGAGACCAGACAGUCAAAGCAUAUGAUGAGGCUACCAUCAACAUCCACAGGGUCAGUCAUGUGCAGUCACAGGUCAGGAGCCUCCAAAGCCUUUUGGUCCGCCUGCCGAUUUUAUCCAGCUUCUUCAUGACAAUGGCGAGGAGCUGGUGGUGGUAUGGAACACCGGCAAGCUGCCCUCCAUGGCUCUGUCUAGUUUCACCACCACCUGAAUGCACACCAGGUUCUCCCCUCUGAAGCGCAGGCCCGUUGCUUCCGCCGGUUUUGUGCAGGUAGAAAUUUCUGCCGCCCACUUCGCCGAUCUUGUCGUUUUUGUUUAAACCUGUUAAAGAAAACACCCAAGAUGUUACUUCGCCAGACCAAAGGUAAAUUUGGAAAUGUUGACUUCAUAAUUUAUAGUCUCUUUGGGCUGAGCAACUAAAUUUUGGGUGAAGAAGCUCUCUGAAUGAUGUUCAUAGGCUUUUCAGAGUAAUAACUUUACAAGUCCUUGCAUAUAUGGUCUAGAAAAAGAAGUCGGUACAUAUAACUAGUACCAAAUAAGUUGUCUACAUCCUUAUCCAUGACGACUGGCCUAUAUUACAUUGCUGAAUCCUUAAAGAAGGAAGUGGUGGGAGAGAUAAAUUUCAAGCAAGACAAAAAUGAGUAAACCAAAUAGCAAGAUGCCACAUGAAAGAAGACGGUUUGUCAGAGACUUCCUGCAUAACUAACAAAAUUACUAAACAUCAUUAGUAGUUCUUAACAUAUUCUGAAUUACGGAUGAUUCAAACAUCCCAGUACACAUGAAUGGUGCAGAACUUGCUGUGACAGUGACAGCACUUGAAAAUGGCUUGUUUCACAAACAACAGAAUCAAACAACCACAUGUUUAGCACCAGAAACUGUAACACACCAGUACAGUUUAAUCCCCAUUUGAUCGGCAAAUUGGCAUGGCAUAUCCAUUAAACCAAGUGAAAAGGAUGAAUGGCUCGCUUACUCUGGAGGGAGAAGUGAGAGUGAUGGAGCUGGAAGGACUCGGCGGAGGCGGGGUCCAGCCGGGGGCUCCUCCCCUCCCGGUGGUACCGCUCCACCACCGCGGCGAUGGCGUCCCGGAUGCUGGAGCCGAGGCUGACCAUCGCCCUCACCGGCCCCGCGCUCCCCUCCACCGUCACGUUCACCACCACCUUCGCCUCCCACAGAAGAAAAAAAACCCAUCCAGUAAACCCCACGAACUAAAAUGAACGAAUGCGCGCGCGCUCGUCAGUUCACGGACCGUGCCGUACCUCCCAGGUCGUGCGACGAUCGGGCGGCAGCAGCAGGGAGGAGGAGGCGAAGGGAGAGUCCGGCGCGAGGACGUCGUAGCAGGUGUGCGGUCGGUCGAGCGGCGGCGGCGGCGGGGACGGCGGGUGGGGCGGCGCGGGGUGGACGCGGGCGUCGUCGCGCCACCAGAGCGCCGGCUCGGAGGCGGAGCGCGUGAGUGCCCUCUUCGCCUCGGCCCGCUUCCGCGGCCGCGGACCCUGCGCCAGCUGCACCGGCAGCCGGAGCCUCCGUCCGGCGCCGCCGCCGCUGGUCCCGCCCCGGCGCGUCGGCGAGGAGGAGGGCCCCGGCCGGGCGCCGGCGAUGCGCGGGCGGCUCCUCUUCCUCCCCUGCUGCAUCUUCUCUGGCUAGAGACCCUGGUCGCCGAGACGAUCGUGCGCGCGCGCGCGUGUGUGGAGUGGAGUGCAGUUUGGAGUUUGGAGAUUGUUGUGUUGCGUUGGUCGGUGGUGUCGUCGGGUGGCCGC
This 4360-nucleotide ribosomal RNA is filed under the name Triticum aestivum (bread wheat). RNAcentral's name for it is "partial small subunit ribosomal RNA". Lineage: Eukaryota; Viridiplantae; Streptophyta; Magnoliopsida; Poales; Poaceae. The record is from RNAcentral.